GUGCCAGCAGCCGCGGUAAUACGUAGGGGGCUAGCGUUAUCCGGAAUUACUGGGCGUAAAGGGUGCGUAGGCGGUCUUUCAAGCCAGAAGUGAAAGGCUACGGCUCAACCGUAGUAAGCUUUUGGAACUGUAGGACUUGAGUGCAGGAGAGGAGAGUGGAAUUCCUAGUGUAGCGGUGAAAUGCGUAGAUAUUAGGAGGAACACCAGUAGCGAAGGCGGCUCUCUGGACUGUAACUGACGCUGAGGCACGAAAGCGUGGGGAGCAAACAGGAUUAGAUACCCUGGUAGUCC
RNAcentral lists this ribosomal RNA (291 nucleotides) under uncultured microorganism. Its description in RNAcentral is "partial 16S ribosomal RNA". It matches the Rfam family "Bacterial small subunit ribosomal RNA", at positions 505 to 796 of the family's 1533-position model. The record is from RNAcentral.